RNAcentral lists this ribosomal RNA (447 nucleotides) under uncultured bacterium. RNAcentral's name for it is "partial 16S ribosomal RNA". It matches the Rfam family "Bacterial small subunit ribosomal RNA", at positions 29 to 523 of the family's 1533-position model. The record is from RNAcentral.
AGCGAACGCUGGCGGCAGGCCUAACACAUGCAAGUCGAACGAUCCUUCGGGAUAGUGGCGGACGGUUGAGUAACACGUGGGAACGUACCUUUAGGUUCGGGAUAACUCAGGGAAACUUGAGCUAAUACCGGAUGUGCCCUUCGGGGGAAAGAUUUAUCGCCUUUAGAGCGGCCCGCGUUAGAUUAGCUAGUUGGUGAGGUAAGGGCUCACCAAGGCUCCGGUCUAUAGCUGGUCUGAGAGGAUGAUCAGCCACACUGGGACUGGGACACGGCCCAGACUCCUACGGGAGGCAGCAGUGGGGGAUGUUGCGCAAUGGGCGAAAGCUCGACGCAGCCAUGCCGCGUGAAUGAUGAAGGUCUUAGGAUUAUAAAAUUCUUUUAGCAGGGACGAUAAUGACGGUACCUGCAGAAAAAGCCCCGGCUAACUUCGUGCCAGCCGCCGCCGUAA